Long non-coding RNA from Oryza sativa Japonica Group (Japanese rice), 431 nucleotides. RefSeq lists it as uncharacterized. NCBI's taxonomy places the organism in Eukaryota, Viridiplantae, Streptophyta, Magnoliopsida, Poales, Poaceae. The record is from RefSeq and is a predicted model, not a curated record.
GAUUCACUGUUUAAUGGCCUAGGUGUCAGCUUGCAUGCCUGCUGUUUGUUUUAUGCGUGUCCAUGCUCUUGCUUGUUGUCUCUUCUUGCUCCUCCCCUUAUAUUGUUCCUCUCUGCAUUAGUGAUAGCUCCUCUGUUCUCUCUGCGAUCCGUUCGUUCAAGCACUGGGUAUACUUGCUUGGCCGUAUUGGUUUAUGCCGUCUGCAUCAGCUGCUAGAGCUCGCCGUGCUGCAAUCCUUCGUGGUAGGAGUUUUUCCUCGCGCUCAGCAUGUGAACUGACACGACAAACUGAGCCCAGCCGUACGACAAUAGGAGCUUCCUCCAAUACGUGGAGCAGGGGACCGCACCGGCGCUAGCAGGGACGCUACGACUUUACCGACGGCUGCUCGAGCUCGGCAUUAAACCGGUGUUCCUGACAGUCCGCACCGAGAA